Molecule: ribosomal RNA, 480 nt
Filed under: uncultured bacterium
Lineage: Bacteria
Description: partial 16S ribosomal RNA
Rfam family: Bacterial small subunit ribosomal RNA
Source: RNAcentral
GACGAACGCUGGCGGCGUGCCUAACACAUGCAAGUCGAGCGAAUAAAGUUCCUUCGGGAACGGAUUUAGCGGCGGACGGGUGAGUAACACGUGGGCAACCCGCCUCAUAGAGGGGAAUAGCCUUCCGAGAGGGAGAUUAAUACCGCAUAAGAUUGUAGUAUCGCAUGGUACAGCAAUUAAAGGAGCAAUCCGCUAUGAGAUGGGCCCGCGGCGCAUUAGCUAGUUGGUGAGGUAACGGCUCACCAAGGCGACGAUGCGUAGCCGACCUGAGAGGGUGAUCGGCCACAUUGGGACUGAGACACGGCCCAGACUCCUACGGGAGGCAGCAGUGGGGAAUAUUGCACAAUGGGGGAAACCCUGAUGCAGCAACGCCGCGUGAGUGAUGACGGCCUUCGGGUUGUAAAGCUCUGUCUUCAGGGACGAUAAUGACGGUACCUGAGGAGGAAGCCACGGCUAACUUCGUGCCAGCCGCCGCGGUAA